GAUAGAUCCCUUUGGAUCUUGUCUUUUUUCUUCCUCUCCUUUCUCUCCCUUUUGUCUACCCCUCUCCCUCUCUCCACUUCCCUCUCUCUCACUCCCUCUUCCUCCACCUUCUUUCUUUCUCCUGCUCCCUCCCUCCCUCUCUUUCCUCUCCAUUUUGAAAUAAGAAGGAUUCAUGGCAACCUGCACAGGAUAGAAUGAAACAGAUCUGAGUCAAGAGGAGAAUCUCUGAGGAUAAUUUCUUCAAACAGCAAUGUGCAUGAUAACUCAGGAAGCCACAUGUUGAAUACUGUGGCACCACAAGAUGAAACAAGCCUGGAUCCUGGAACCACUGCUUGGAGGGGGUUGCCUGCCAUCGUGAAUACACAUUGGACUUUAUAUAAAUACGAAGUCUACUUCUCUUGUUUUAAAUUACUGAGAAUUUGUGGUUCAUGUAUUAUGGUAGCUAGUAUUACCUUAAGUAAUAGAAGAAUGUUCCCACUGUGUUAAAUAGAAAAAAUAUUUUCUUCCACAGACUAAAAUUGAAGCAUGGUUAAACAUGCAGAAUCUAGGUGGAAGUCUGGGAUCUCAGAAGAUACAAAAGAAGCUUUCCCUUGCACUGCAAGAUCACAUAUGGCAAAGGCUUCAAUAAAUAUCUCUAAUGGGCCUACUCUCUUCCUUAUAACUCAUCUGACAUUUUUGUGAUACAAGGGAGAACAGUUGAAUUGUUUGAAAAACUUGCCUCAGAAAGGGUGAGACAGAAAGCUCACUGGUGAAUUGAAAAGGUUUUCAUUGUACCGUUAUGGGACUGUUUUUAAAAGACUCUAUGUUCCUUGUAAAAUUCAUUCUUGAAUCAGAUUUGAUUUUUAGCAAACAAUUUCUUACCUAAUCUCAACCUCCAGACUUUAAUAUUCUAACAAUUACAUAAGUCCAUUGCAUUAAAAAGUUCUCAAUAGUUAUUUUUUUAGUUUUGAUAAGUUUUAACAAGACAAAAAGCUGACAAGUCUUAAAUUUGGUAAAAGGAGAUUUUGAAAAGGAGACUCCAAAAAUAAUGCAUUUAAAAUCUAAUUUAUAUGGUGCCUCAGAAGAGUUUCAAACAAAUGAAUAGUCUUCUAAGAAGUUAUAAAUUCAUGUCCGGGAUAGAAAUAUCUGUGAAUCACUAAAUUAUUUCUCUCAUAUUUGCUGGUGUAAAACUAGGGAAUAGCCAAGCAGCUUACAUUAUCAACUGCUUAUGAGGAUGCUAAAAUGAUAUACUUAACUGAUAUUUCCAUCUAGAGGCACUGUAUAAUUUUGUCACCAAAAAUAACUAUAGACUCAAGAAUAUAAGGAGGAAUAUUUUAUAUAGUGGCAUACAAAGUUAUGACAUUUAUCUGUCAUUUUCCCAUAUUAUUUAUCCUCAAAAGAGUUUGUUUCUUUACAUCAUGUGGAAGGAUAAUUGGUCCCAUAAAGAAGUAAUUAUUUAUAUCAACGAGGUAAUAAUAAAAGAGAAUGGCUCAUAAUCUACUGGACGUUGCAUGGCCUGUGAUGUCUCUUUCCUUCUAGUCACUUUCGAAAGCUCAAAUACCAACACCUUUGUAACUUCCUCCUUUUCCCCCAUAUACAUAGUCAAUUCUUCUUUUGUACUCCCUCAAAUGUUAAUUUGUACAUUGAUUUUCACAUUUACAUUACUGUAUUAUAAUUACCUACUUACGUUUAUGACCUGUCUGAUCAAUUUUAAAUUAGCAUUUUCUUCUCCCUUGUGUCUCGGUACAUUGUAUGCUGACAUAGAGCAGAUUCUCAAUGGAUGUUUGUUAAAGGAUGCAUUUUAUUUCCUCAGUAAAACCAUUUUAUGUCAUUAGACAAAUUCAAGUAUACAGUUAGAUUCCAGAAACUAUAGUCUACCAUAUAAUUAAAGGUAUUUCUGCUAUUUUAUGUCAUUGAACAAAUUCAAGUGUACAAUUAGAUUUCAAAA
This 1927-nucleotide long non-coding RNA is filed under the name Homo sapiens (human). RNAcentral's name for it is "HSALNT0081336". Lineage: Eukaryota; Metazoa; Chordata; Mammalia; Primates; Hominidae. The record is from RNAcentral.